Molecule: ribosomal RNA, 343 nt
Filed under: Staphylococcus aureus
Lineage: Bacteria; Bacillati; Bacillota; Bacilli; Caryophanales; Staphylococcaceae
Description: bacterial SSU rRNA
Rfam family: Bacterial small subunit ribosomal RNA
Source: RNAcentral
UUUUAUGGAGAGUUUGAUCCUGGCUCAGGAUGAACGCUGGCGGCGUGCCUAAUACAUGCAAGUCGAGCGAACGGACGAGAAGCUUGCUUCUCUGAUGUUAGCGGCGGACGGGUGAGUAACACGUGGAUAACCUACCUAUAAGACUGGGAUAACUUCGGGAAACCGGAGCUAAUACCGGAUAAUAUUUUGAACCGCAUGGUUCAAAAGUAAAAGACGGUCUUGCUGUCACUUAUAGAUGGAUCCGCGCUGCAUUAGCUAGUUGGUAAGGUAACGGCUUACCAAGGCAACGAUGCAUAGCCGACCUGAGAGGGUGAUCGGCCACACUGGAACUGAGACACGGUCC